RNAcentral lists this ribosomal RNA (495 nucleotides) under uncultured bacterium. RNAcentral's name for it is "partial 16S ribosomal RNA". It matches the Rfam family "Bacterial small subunit ribosomal RNA", at positions 28 to 507 of the family's 1533-position model. The record is from RNAcentral.
GACGAACGCUGGCGGCGUGCCUAAUACAUGCAAGUAGAACGCUGACGGAGGAGCUUGCUCUUCUGGCUGAGUUGCGAACGGGUGAGUAACGCGUAGGUAACCUGCCUGGUAGCGGGGGAUAACUAUUGGAAACGAUAGCUACUAUCGCAUAACAGACGAUGUUGCAUGACAUUUGCUUAAACGGUGCACUUGCAUCACUACAAGAUGGACCUGCGUUGUUUUCGCUUGUUGGUGGGGUAACGGCUCACCAAGGCGACGAUACAUCGCCGACCUGAGAGGGGGAUCGGCCACACUUGGACCUAGACACGGCCCAGACUCCUACGGGAGGCAGCAGUAGGGAAUCUUCGGCAAUUGACGGAAGUCUGACCGAGCAACGCCGCGGGAGUGAAGAAGGUUUUCGGAUCUGAAAGCUCUGUUUUAAGAGAAGAACGAGUGUGAGAGUAGAAAGUUCACACUGUGACGGUAUCUAACCAGAAAGGGACGGCUAACUACGUG